Molecule: ribosomal RNA, 305 nt
Filed under: uncultured bacterium
Lineage: Bacteria
Description: bacterial SSU rRNA
Rfam family: Bacterial small subunit ribosomal RNA
Source: RNAcentral
UUUACCUACGGGGCGCAGCAGUGAGGAAUAUUGGUCAAUGGGAGAGAUCCUGAACCAGCCAAGCCGCGUGAGGGAAGACGGCCCUAUGGGUUGUAAACCUCUUUUGUCGGAGAACAAAACCCGGGACGUGUCCCGGACUGCGUGUAUCCGAAGAAAAAGCAUCGGCUAACUCCGUGCCAGCAGCCGCGGUAAUACGGAGGAUGCGAGCGUUAUCCGGAUUUAUUGGGUUUAAAGGGUGCGUAGGCGGAUCGUUAAGUCAGUGGCCAAAUUGAGGGGCUCAACCCCUUCCCGCCAUUAAAACUGGC